Molecule: ribosomal RNA, 407 nt
Filed under: uncultured bacterium
Lineage: Bacteria
Description: partial 16S ribosomal RNA
Rfam family: Bacterial small subunit ribosomal RNA
Source: RNAcentral
AUUGAACGCUGGCGGCAGGCCUAACACAUGCAAGUCGAGCGGGGGAGCGGACGGGUGAGUAAUACCUAUGAAUCUGCCUGGGAGUGGGGGAUGGCGUCCGGAAACGGGCGCGAAUACCGCAUACUAUCAGAUGAGCCUAGGUCGGAUUAGCUAGUGGGUGGGGUAAAGGCCUACCAAGGCGACGAUCCGUAACUGGUCUGAGAGGAUGAUCAGUCACACUGGAACUGAGACACGGUCCAGACUCCUACGGGAGGCAGCAGUGGGGAAUAUUGGACAAUGGGCGAAAGCCUGAUGCAGCCAUGCCGCGUGUGUGAAGAAGGUCUUCGGAUUGUAAAGUACUUUAAGCUGGGAGGCGUUACCAACAGAAGAAGCACCGGCUAACUCCGUGCCAACAGCCGCGGUAAUAC